GAUGAAGAACGUAGCGAAAUGCGAUACGUAAUGUGAAUUGCAGAAUUCAGUGAAUCAUCGAAUCUUUGAACGCAUAUUGCGCUCUUUGGUAUUCCGAAGAGCAUGCUUGUUUGAGUAUCAGUAAACACCUCAAAGCUUUUGGAUUUUUUAAUCGAAAAGCUUUGGAGUUGAGCAAUCCCAACACCAAUCUUUUUGAGAUCGGUGGCGGGUUGCUUGAAAUGCAGGUGCAGCUGGACAUUCUCCUGAGCUAAAAGCAUAUUCAUUUAGUCCCGUCAAACGGAUUAUUACUUUUGCUGCAGCUAACAUAAAGGGAGUUUGACCGUAUUGGCUGACUGAUGCAGGAUUUCACAAGGGUCGGCAACGAUUCUUGUUAAACUCGAUCUCAAAUCAAGUAAGACUACCCGCUGAACUUAAGCAUAUCAAUAAGCGGAGGA
RNAcentral lists this unclassified non-coding RNA (434 nucleotides) under soil metagenome. Its description in RNAcentral is "partial contains 5.8S ribosomal RNA, internal transcribed spacer 2, and large subunit ribosomal RNA". The stretch from base 1 to 120 matches the Rfam family "5.8S ribosomal RNA", at positions 35 to 154 of the family's 154-position model. The record is from RNAcentral.